This 366-nucleotide ribosomal RNA is filed under the name uncultured bacterium. Its description in RNAcentral is "bacterial SSU rRNA". It matches the Rfam family "Bacterial small subunit ribosomal RNA", at positions 30 to 396 of the family's 1533-position model. The record is from RNAcentral.
AUUGAACGCUGGCGGCAUGCUUUACACAUGCAAGUCGAGCGGCAGCGCGGGGGCAACCCUGGCGGCGAGCGGCGAACGGGUGAGUAAUAUAUCGGAACGUACCCGGAAAUGGGGGAUAACGUAGCGAAAGUUACGCUAAUACCGCAUAUGCCCUGAGGGGGAAAGUGGGGGAUCGCAAGACCUCACGUUUUCGGAGCGGCCGAUAUCAGAUUAGCUAGUUGGUGAGGUAAAGGCUCACCAAGGCUUCGAUCUGUAGCUGGUCUGAGAGGACGACCAGCCACACUGGGACUGAGACACGGCCCAGACUCCUACGGGAGGCAGCAGUGGGGAAUUUUGGACAAUGGGCGCAAGCCUGAACCAGCCAUG